Molecule: long non-coding RNA, 1668 nt
Organism: Nelumbo nucifera (sacred lotus)
Lineage: Eukaryota; Viridiplantae; Streptophyta; Magnoliopsida; Proteales; Nelumbonaceae
Source: RefSeq, a predicted model, not a curated record
AAUGGGACGGCCGUUAGCUCUGCCCCGUUAACUCCCUCUCGCCCAAAAGGGCAUCAUCCCCUAGGCUAUUCUGUGUCCAUAUCCUCUUUCUCCAGACUCUAAUCUCAUAGCUGAAACCUUCACCUUCCGUAACCUGCCAGAGAUUGCCCUCCUUCGAGUUCCGCCGGUCAACACCGACGACCGUUCCAACAGGAGGACAUGAACGCGAAUCAGACAUUACCAGUUUACCACCACCACCAGAGACUAUGGUUCCUUUUUUUUCUCCUAAAAGGAACCACUAAAAUCUUUUCAAGAUCCCCAAAAGCUCAUUUUGGGGUUUGGGCGACUUCUCCUUUUAUCCUUUUCUUGUUGUUUGCUUCUCAUGGCAACCAUACCAAAUACCACUACCAGUGCUGUUAGUGUUGUUAUAGUUACACUAAAUAAAAUUCUUUCCUUCAAGAAUCCAAACUGAUGUGUCCACUUCCUCCUAGGCUCCCAUGGAAAAUGGGAAAAGAUAACAACUUGUGGGUUAGAAACUUAGAGUUCAGAGAGAAAAAGAAAGAAAGAGAUGAAAAGAAAUAAUUCCAAGUAUGAUCAAAACCAACCAAUUUCAAGUUCUAUCAAUACACAUUUCUGCAACUCAAAAACCAGAAUGUCAUCGCCAAGUAUUUUCUAUUUUUUUUUCUUUCCUAUAAUCAACAUCAAAUGAAUAACUACAUUCACUCUCCCCAGAAGAAAGAGAAUUAAAAGAGUGAGAGAAAAUAAAAUUGAAAAAAUGGAAAUAAGAAAUUUCUUUAUGGGCUCUUAAAGGCAUAGAUCAACAAAGAAAACUCAACUCUCUCUUGGUCCUUCUGCAAUGUCUUCUCCAAUGAACAUAACCGGCUGUCCAAUCCACUUCUUGUCCUAAACAUGAAAACAACAUAUCUAGAGUUUGGAUUGUAGAACCAGUCAUGAACAUCCCACAUCAUAUCAACUAGCAACCCAUCAACAAAGAUAGUCUGGUUCCCUCUAAAAUUCCACUGCAACCUCUUCACUCGAAUUACGUUCCUCUUAUCGAUAUAGAUUGAUAGCACUGGAUCCUUCAACCCUUCGUCUUCUCCACUGCAUCUGAUCAAAAUGUCGUGGGCCGUCCCAAUAUCACAGAAUUGCGCCUUGGUCGAAUACAAAGGGUUCCCUGAGAAAUGCUCUGUUUGGGAGACCAAGGAGAAUUGGGCAACCGAGAAAGGCGGACACGUGAUGCGCCCAAAUACAAAGCAUGGGAUGUAUUUGGGGGGCAACUCUGUGGGGGGCGGAUGAGAAUCCAAUCCCUUCUCUCUCGUUCAUUCCUCUCUCCCCCUUACCCUUCUUUCUCUCUUCCGCCGCCCCUCCUCCUCCCUCUCUCUUUCGAUCACCACCACUACAAGUCUACAACCAGAGACCCAAACAGUAAUGGAGGCCACCGAAGAAGAGAGCUUGCUGACUCCUGAAGAUCGAUUAGAUCAACUACCCAAAACACAACCACUUCUUCCUCCAUUUAUAUUAGCAUUUGCAUAAGUUGUACAAUAACAGAUACUCUGGCACUGGGCUGCGCAUUCUUCAAGACUCAUGCUUGUUGGGUUUCUUCCUGAUUUUUGGUUUGAAUUGCUACUUCUUUCAUGAUUGAUUCAGAGUUUCUUUAUUUUUAUUUUUUUAAAGAGUUUAAUUAAUUAA